UCUCCGUAGGUGAACCUGCGGAGGGAUCAUUACAGAGUUCUCGCCCUCGCGGGUAGAUCUCCCACCCACUGUUAUCGUUACUGUCGUUUCUUUGGCGGGCCGCCGGGUCCCCGGCCGCUGGCGUCUAAUAGGCGGCGCGCGCCCGCCAGAGGCCUCCGAACCCUGACUGUUAGUGUCGUCUGAGUACUAUAUAAUAGUUAAAACUUUCAACAACGGAUCUCUUGGUUCUG
This 230-nucleotide unclassified non-coding RNA is filed under the name plant metagenome. RNAcentral describes it as "partial contains small subunit ribosomal RNA, internal transcribed spacer 1, and 5.8S ribosomal RNA". The record is from RNAcentral.